GGGCGCAUAGCUCAGUUGGUUAGAGCGCAUGGAUCACACCCAUGAGGUCCGGGGUUCGAGUCCCUGUGCGCCCACCA
RNAcentral lists this transfer RNA (77 nucleotides) under Planctomycetota bacterium. RNAcentral describes it as "Planctomycetes bacterium (sediment metagenome) tRNA-Val". It matches the Rfam family "tRNA". Rfam says of the family: Transfer RNA (tRNA) molecules are approximately 80 nucleotides in length. Lineage: Bacteria; Pseudomonadati; Planctomycetota. The record is from RNAcentral.